Molecule: ribosomal RNA, 568 nt
Filed under: uncultured Bacteroidota bacterium
Lineage: Bacteria; Pseudomonadati; Bacteroidota
Description: SSU rRNA
Rfam family: Bacterial small subunit ribosomal RNA
Source: RNAcentral
CAGCUAGUUGGUAAGGUAAAGGCUUACCAAGGCUACGAUGUUUAGGGGAUCUGAGAGGAUGGCCCCCCACACUGGUACUGAGACACGGACCAGACUCCUACGGGAGGCAGCAGUAAGGAAUAUUGGUCAAUGGGCGGAAGCCUGAACCAGCCAUGCCGCGUGCAGGAAGACGGCCCUACGGGUUGUAAACUGCUUUUGCAGGGGAAUAAACCCCCGUACGUGUACGGGGCUGAAUGUACUCUGAGAAUAAGGAUCGGCUAACUCCGUGCCAGCAGCCGCGGUAAUACGGAGGAUCCAAGCGUUAUCCGGAUUUAUUGGGUUUAAAGGGUGCGUAGGUGGCUUUUUAAGUCAGGGGUGAAAGACGGUAGCUUAACUAUCGCAGUGCCUUUGAUACUGAAGAGCUUGAAUGAACUAGAGGUAGGCGGAAUGUGACAAGUAGCGGUGAAAUGCAUAGAUAUGUCACAGAACACCAAUUGCGAAGGCAGCUUACUAUGGUUUAAUUGACACUGAGGCACGAAAGCGUGGGGAUCAAACAGGAUUAGAUACCCUGGUAGUCCACGCCCCUAAC